CGUUUAUCCAUUGGCUACCCGUUGGAGCAUCACUUGCGGUGCUCUUUGUAAUGUCACUUGGUGGGUUUUGCAGAAAUGACUGUCUAGAGACGUUUUAUCUUGAUAAUUGACAAAAUAAGAGUGCAAAAUAUUUGACAGCAGAUCGCUUAUGGGGUCAUCAAGGAAACUCAAUAGAUGGCUAUUUCAGUGGAGAUUAUACCAGAGAUGUUGUUUUGAAAGUAUAUGCCAGGAGAGAAAGAUAUACUUGAAACCCGAUGAGGUCAAUGAUGUGGAGAUUUUACCAGAGAUGUUGUUUUCAAGUAAGAUUUUGUGUGAGAUUAUAUCGAUCGCACCAGCACGCCACAUUGUUGCUCCACGGCAAAGGCAGCGAGCGACUGGCUGGCUGCUGCUGGCUUGUACGUGUGGAAGGCAGUUGUUCACGGCAGACCAGUGAGCGGCGGCGGGUGGGCGCGACCACAUGGUGGUUGGAAGACUGAUCCCGGAGAGGAGAACAAGCCUCCGAGCACGUGCUCGUCAACUCCAUGCCGGCCGCUCCAAGCGCCCCUGCUUCGUGUCUUCAAGGCAGGCGCCGAGAUAGCCUUUGCAGCGAGCUGUGGUGUGUGGACUCUGCGGCGAGAUGGGAUUCAGAAUCCUUUUCCGUGAUAGCACAUCCAAGGAAGGAAGGAGAUUGAGGUUGGCACCUCCUGAAGGCAUGCAUGCUCUUCACCGAGAGAGGGAAGGGCAUCUUUUUCUUGGGUUGCAGUUUCCACCUUGUUGUUGGGUGAGAGCUCUUGUGGAUAAUCAGACAUGGGGUGCAUGGCAAAAUUAGGACAGACUGAAGGCAGCAAAUUCUGCGUUGGCCGUGCACUUUGAGGAGAAGACAUUGUCUUUGUAUAAGUGCCCCUACAAUCAUCUCUUUACAGCAGAGAUAAGGCCUUCAGAUAGAUAUGGCCGCAUAAAUCGCACCGAUGGAUCCAGUCCUUCGCUAGGUCCAACCUACCCUGCACCAGCCUCAAGCACGUGAGACAUUGUUACCUUGUGUUCUAACUGGUUACCACAAUCAAAUCCAUUUUUCCCAGUUAAAUUAGUUAGCUCAUUUUGUUGAUAACUGAGUUGCAUUGGUAAUAUAUACUGAACUGUCUUUGGCAUUCUGUUUUGCAA
Aegilops tauschii subsp. strangulata is the source of this 1140-nucleotide long non-coding RNA. RefSeq lists it as uncharacterized. The record is from RefSeq and is a predicted model, not a curated record. Lineage: Eukaryota; Viridiplantae; Streptophyta; Magnoliopsida; Poales; Poaceae.